ACUCCUACGGGAGGCAGCAGUGGGGAAUAUUGCACAAUGGGGGAAACCCCUGAUGCAGCGACGCCGCGUGAGAGGAAGAAGUUUUCGGUAUGUAAAACUCUAUCAGCAGGGAAGAUAAUGACGUACCU
This 128-nucleotide ribosomal RNA is filed under the name uncultured Bacillota bacterium. Its description in RNAcentral is "uncultured Firmicutes bacterium partial 16S ribosomal RNA". It matches the Rfam family "Bacterial small subunit ribosomal RNA", at positions 335 to 461 of the family's 1533-position model. Lineage: Bacteria; Bacillati; Bacillota. The record is from RNAcentral.